UUUUUUUUUUUCAAUAUGUCAACCUUCACAUCAAAACAAAUUUAUCUUUGUAGAAGUGGAGGUAGAUCUAGUCUAGACUUUAGAUAGAUCUAGAUCUAUGUCUAAAUCUAGAUUAGAUUCAAGUUAGAAAAAUUUAAUAUUAAAAAAAAUUGGAAAUUCUGCGACUAGAUAGUAGUGUGCGGCGGUAUCACGAAAUUAAGCUUAGUAGCACAUUUGAAUUAGUAAAACAAAUAUUCAAUAUUGAAAUAGUUAUGAGUUAUGGAUAACUGAACUUACUUGUCAAGUUCAAUGAAGUUGGUGAUGGUUUCAUCUUGAUCCGAGAUUGGGUGUGGAAGAAAUGUGUACAAACAUUUUACCAGACAGACAGUGAAAUUUGCCCUUUCAGAAAUGUUUGUCUAGAGAGAGCAGAUGAUGUAAAGGUUAUUUGUUUCUGAGGCCUACAGGGCACUACAGCCAGUACAGGGUGUCAUCUGGCCAGCACAACGACCAACCGCUUCUACUUUUCCCCAACUUACGUCAGGUACCCAUUAGAGCUGGGUGGACUCCGAGGCGCCCAAAGAUCCCGAAAUUAAAAAUCCCAGUCUUCACCAGGAUUCAAACCUGGACCUCCCAGUUUGGAAGCCAAGCACUUUACCGCUCAGCCACCGCACCUCCCAGACUAAUGACCAUGAUGCACUAGUUAGCAAAAUGAGCUGUUCUUCAAAGUCUAAAGCAAAAGUGACUAAAAGUGCCUAGUGACCUACCAUCACCAACUUGAGAAGUAAGUUUAGCUAUCCAUAACUAUUUGUUUUACUAAUUCAAAUGUGCUACUAAGCUUAAUUUAAUUAUGGCCAUUCAGAUGUACAAAGACCUGGAUUUCUUCUAUCGUGUGGGUGUAGGUCAAAGACAAGUGAUAAUCAGUUGAAAGAGUGCCUUUCUGUUUUCAUAACCAAAUAGCAUUAUAGAAUUGCAAUGUUACAAAUAUUUAAAUUUCUUUACCCUACAUAAUAAAAAGUAAAGUAAAGUUCCCCUUUCAGACCUUGUGGUCUAUAGGGCAGAAGAUGUAAAGGUCAUGUGAUUCUGUAACCAACUGUUAACGAGUGUGUCAUGCGGCCAGCACAAUGACCAACCGCCUUUACUUUUCCCCAACUAACAUCAGGUACCCAUUAGAGCUGGUGGACUCAGAGACGCCCAAAGAUCCCGAAAUUAAAAAUCUGUCUUCAGCAGGAUUCGAACCCAGGACCCCUAGUUCAGAAGUCAAGCGCUUUACCGCUCAGCCACCGUGCCUUCACUCUACAUAAUACCGUACUUUACAUAAAGACUUAAAUAGGGCAAUAAUAAUAAAAGCUCACUGUUUUCUACAAAACAUUCAUCUCUGAUUUAAAAAUAGCCCUUCUUAGUUGAACUAUUGAGAAUGUUAACCUAUUUAAGAAAUAAGAAAGGAUGUCUUAUGAAAGAUGUUAGGAUAGUUUGUGGCAAUGGGUUAGGUGUAAUAUAGCUAAUUAUUUUCAUUAUGUCCAAUAGGACAAGUUUUGUAGACCAUCCCUUAUGAUGACCAAAAAAAAAAAAGCUGUUGUUUGGAAAAUGCCAUGGAAGUCUUUAUAUAUGUUAAUUUGAAUAUAUCCAGAAAGGAUUUAACAGAAUUCAUACAGAAACUUUAUAUUGCAUUUAAUGUUUCUGAGAUGGUUUCAACAACUUUAUUUAAUUAGACUGCCAUCAAUAUCAUUUUGAGAGACAUUGUUUUAUGUGACUGCGAAAUACAUCUCAAAUUGUAUAGUAGAUAUCCUUUAGGUUGUUGUUAGUCACAGUAAUUAUUAAAUAUAACUUUGUAUAACAUUUUUUUAAAAGUUUUUAAUAAAAUAAAUAAAAAAUUUGACUUUAGACAUUUAUUAUCAAUGAAUCAUAUAAACAAAAAGUUGUUCAUGUAUUGCAACCAUAAUGAUUCACAUUCGCUCAUGCUCACUUAGGUGUGUGUUGACAGUCUUAUCACAAGGCCCAACUGAAUAAAUAUGUUGAGUAGCUUAUCAUUCAAUUCAAAGAACAUAGAAAAGUAUAAUAUUUCAAACCAUAUGUCAUACAAUGACAUCUCUAGUCUGUGUAAAUUGAACUACCAUAAAGCCUGUUAACAAUGAGGGGAAAAAACAAUGAAAAAAUAUAGCAUAAGCAGCCUUGACAAAUUAAUAAUACAGGAUACAUUGUAACAAUUACAAUAUCAUAUACAUUUGUGUUUGGACUGAGCUUUAAAAAAUACAUUAACUUUGUUAGAACUGGUUUUAGUGCUUUCGCAAUAGUUGCCUUCAGAAAUCCUCUAGAAAUAAAUAUGUAGUGGUUCAUUGACAUAAGCCUGGAAUGCUACUUGAUAUAAUUUGAUGGCAUUUAAAACCAACACCUCAACAACAUAUUUAAAAAAAAAAAAACUUCCAGAAGAUUUUAUGUACUAAAAUUUAUUAAAAAAUUGUUAAGAACCAACUUAACAGAUUUCAUGUACUAAAAUUUAUCACAACUUAUUAAGAACCAACCUAACAAUUAUAACUAACUAUGUGUGCUUCUUCAUUCUCUUUCUUCUUUUUCGUUCUCACUAUAUGUGCUGUAUGGCUUAUAUUUAUAUAAUAAUAUGUAUAUCAAUUAAUAUACAAAAAAUUGACUAUAACACCUUACAUGAUGUGUUAACAAUUAGAUAUCAGUGAUAACUACAAGAGAGCUAGUCUAGUAGCAUUUUCUUUAGCCCAACACAAUGAAGUCAAGGUGAUCAUGGCAAUAAUAUAUAUUCAACCCACAAAUACAAAUGAAAGCUCUUGACUUAAAACACACAUACUUUCACACAUUAAACCAUGCAGAACUUCAAUCAACUAAAUUGCAACACUUAUUCUUCUGUUACAAGAAUCAACACUUGGUCAAGAAGAUAGGAAGAAUAAUUAUCUUGAGACAUAAACAGAACAAAAGACUUUAAAAUGAAAAAAAAAAUAUUAAAAGGGCAUAAUGUAAACAGGACCAGCAUCUUCUGUAGAUUAAGAAACAUUGAUAUUUAUAUAUUAACAUAGUUAACAUUUAUCAAGAGUUCCUUCAACUGACUUUAGUACCACUGGUCAUCAAUGAAUAUCACCAUGUCCUGGUUUCUGACUUUACAGCAAAACUGUUUUCAGUUGUAACCUUAAUUAUGUUACACAAAAAAAAAAAAAAAAACCCAAAAAAACUCCAAAACGGUUUUAAUUUGUUUAGUACUAGCAUCACAGUGACAGUGUGUUGUACUCACAUAUAACUUGGAACACAAUAACUUAAAUAAAACAAUAUAAUUGAAAUGUAAAAAAAAAAAGAACUCUAAUACAAAGUCAAACAAUCUCUAUAAAGUACCAAGCCAUUACAGGAUGCACUAAAAAGGUUCAGAUUUGUUACAUGUACAAAGUUUAUUCAUUUAGUUUUCAUGGUGCUUUUUUUU
This is a long non-coding RNA of Biomphalaria glabrata, 3415 nucleotides long. RefSeq lists it as uncharacterized. The record is from RefSeq and is a predicted model, not a curated record. The transcript is spliced from 3 exons. Lineage: Eukaryota; Metazoa; Mollusca; Gastropoda; Planorbidae.